GACGAACGCUGGCGGUGUGCUUAACACAUGCAAGUCGAACGGUAAGGCCCUUUCGGGGGUACACGAGUGGCGAACGGGUGAGUAACACGUGAGUAACCUGCCCUCAUCUCUGGGAUAACAGUCGGAAACGGUUGCUAAUACUGGAUAUGAGCUUGCAAGGCAUCUUGUGGGUUGGAAAGAUUUUUUUUGGUUGGGGAUGGACUCGCGGCCUAUCAGCUUGUUGGUGAGGUAGUGGCUCACCAAGGCUUCGACGGGUAGCCGGCCUGAGAGGGCGACCGGCCGCAUUGGGACUGAGAUACGGCCCAAACUCCUACGGGAGGCAGCAAUGGGGAAUAUUGCACAAUGGACGGAAGUCUGAUGCAGCAACGCCGCGUGCGGGAUGACGGCCUUCGGGUUGUAAACCGCUUUCAAUUGUGACGAAGCUUUUUUGUGACGGUAGCAGUAGAAGAAGCACCGGCUAACUACGUG
Molecule: ribosomal RNA, 468 nt
Filed under: uncultured bacterium
Lineage: Bacteria
Description: partial 16S ribosomal RNA
Rfam family: Bacterial small subunit ribosomal RNA
Source: RNAcentral